Perognathus longimembris pacificus (Pacific pocket mouse) is the source of this 154-nucleotide long non-coding RNA. RefSeq lists it as uncharacterized. The record is from RefSeq and is a predicted model, not a curated record. Lineage: Eukaryota; Metazoa; Chordata; Mammalia; Rodentia; Heteromyidae. The transcript has 3 exons.
UUAAAAUGUAAAUUACAUGCAUCGUAGAUGCAUUUAAAUUAAGCUUCAUGUGUUAAGCUAUUGCAAAACAUAUGUGAGAUCAUUUCUAUGCUGUGAACUUUCUUACUAUACUUCUGUAGCUACCUGUCUUCUUUCUCCUUACCCAGGAAACAAU